UAUUGAAAACAAAGCAUUUCACAACACGAAAGUUCAAGCACCCAAAACGCAUAUUCUUGAACAAGCAAUACAUCGUUUCCAACCAUGGCCGAUGCAGCAGCCGCUAUUGCAAUUUGCAGUGUGAUUUUUGCACUGUUUGUUGUCUUCUGGAUUGGAAGUAUGUGCUACUUCAGGACCCCGUGUAAAGAUCUGAAGAAGGAAACUCACUAUAUUGAACAAGGAAACCUCAGUUAGGCAGAGAAGAGCGAUUCUGAUAUUCAUUAGCUUAGCAAGUUUUAUAGAUCUUUUAACUUCUCAAGGGACCGAAGGAGCAGUUACCUUUAUCAUACAGACAUGAGGAUAUUUUUUGUGACAUUUCUACCGAUGUUAAGUGCAGUACCUCUAUCUCAACCAUCCCACAAUGGGCGGGACGAGCUCUUUGCUUUCUACAUUUUCAAUUCGUUAAUUGAACUUUUGUUAUCAUUUUCAGUCCUGUUUUAUACUCUUCAUAAAUUGUAAACUGUAUGCUGUAAAUUCUUGACUGUCAGAUAAAUCGUACAGAGGUUAGUAGUAAAGUACCGCUGAUAGUGCUGUUUUCUUAUCACUGUAAAGGGGUUAAAAUCAAUUUUUGAAGUUUUCCUCUUAGCUUCAAAAUCUGUACUACUUUCGCAACUCGGUUCGCUGCGGGAACGUCGUUCAAAGUAACCGAAGACAUUUAACACUUCCUAAACUGAGAUACAGACACCCUUAAAAUAGUGGUAAAGGUAAGUUGGAAUAAAAUAGGAUCUACCUGAA
Stylophora pistillata is the source of this 774-nucleotide long non-coding RNA. RefSeq lists it as uncharacterized. Lineage: Eukaryota; Metazoa; Cnidaria; Anthozoa; Scleractinia; Pocilloporidae. The record is from RefSeq and is a predicted model, not a curated record.